GAUGAACGCUAGCGGCAGGCCUAAUACAUGCAAGUCGGACGGGAUUUGGGAGCUUGCUCCCAAUGAGAGUGGCGCACGGGUGCGUAACACGUAUGUAACCUACCUUAAUCAGGGGGAUAGCCUCUCGAAAGAGAGAUUAACACCGCAUAAUAUAUUUUUAUGGCAUCGUAGAAAUAUCAAAUAUUUAUAGGAUUAAGAUGGGCAUGCGGAACAUUAGCUAGUUGGUAAGGUAACGGCUUACCAAGGCUACGAUGUUUAGGGGAUCUGAGAGGAUGACCCCCCACACUGGUACUGAGACACGGACCAGACGCCUACGGGAGGCAGCAGUAAGGAAUAUUGGUCAAUGGGCGCAAGCCUGAACCAGCCAUGCCGCGUGCAGGAAGACGGCCCUAUGGGUUGUAAACUGCUUUUGUACCGGAAUAAACCCUUUUACGUGUAAAAGGCUGAAUGUACGGUAAGAAUAAGGAUCGGCCAACUCCGUGCCAGCCGCCGCUGUAA
RNAcentral lists this ribosomal RNA (498 nucleotides) under uncultured bacterium. RNAcentral describes it as "partial 16S ribosomal RNA". It matches the Rfam family "Bacterial small subunit ribosomal RNA", at positions 28 to 523 of the family's 1533-position model. The record is from RNAcentral.